AACUUUCAACAACGGAUCUCUUGGCUCUCGCACCGAUGAAGAACGCAGCGAAAUGCGAUAAGUAAUGUGAAUUGCAGAAUUCAGUGAAUCAUCGAAUCUUUGAACGCACCUUGCGCCCUUUGGUAUUCCGAAGGGCACACCUGUUUGAGUGUCAU
This 155-nucleotide ribosomal RNA is filed under the name Pachnocybe ferruginea. RNAcentral's name for it is "5.8S ribosomal RNA". It matches the Rfam family "5.8S ribosomal RNA". From Rfam's summary of the family: 5.8S ribosomal RNA (5.8S rRNA) is a component of the large subunit of the eukaryotic ribosome. It is transcribed by RNA polymerase I as part of the 45S precursor that also contains 18S and 28S rRNA. The record is from RNAcentral. Lineage: Eukaryota; Fungi; Basidiomycota; Pucciniomycetes; Pachnocybales; Pachnocybaceae.